UAGCUCACUGGUCGAGUCGGCCUGCGCGGAAGAUGUAACGGGGCUAAACCAUGCACCGAAGCUGCGGCAGCGACGCUUAUGCGUUGUUGGGUAGGGGAGCGUUCUGUAAGCCUGUGAAGGUGUGCUGUGAGGCAUGCUGGAGGUAUCAGAAGUGCGAAUGCUGACAUAAGUAACGAUAAAGCGGGUGAAAAGCCCGCUCGCCGGAAGACCAAGGGUUCCUGUCCAACGUUAAUCGGGGCAGGGUGAGUCGACCCCUAAGGCGAGGCCGAAAGGCGUAGUCGAUGGGAAACAGGUUAAUAUUCCUGUACUUGGUGUUACUGCGAAGGGGGGACGGAGAAGGCUAUGUUGGCCGGGCGACGGUUGUCCCGGUUUAAGCGUGUAGGCUGGUUUUCCAGGCAAAUCCGGAAAAUCAAGGCUGAGGCGUGAUGACGAGGCACUACGGUGCUGAAGCAACAAAUGCCCUGCUUCCAGGAAAAGCCUCUAAGCAUCAGGUAACAUCAAAUCGUACCCCAAACCGACACAGGUGGUCAGGUAGAGAAUACCAAGGCGCUUGAGAGAACUCGGGUGAAGGAACUAGGCAAAAUGGUGCCGUAACUUCGGGAGAAGGCACGCUGAUAUGUAGGUGAAGUCCCUCGCGGAUGGAGCUGAAAUCAGUCGAAGAUACCAGCUGGCUGCAACUGUUUAUUAAAAACACAGCACUGUGCAAACACGAAAGUGGACGUAUACGGUGUG
RNAcentral lists this ribosomal RNA (732 nucleotides) under Escherichia coli. RNAcentral describes it as "bacterial LSU rRNA". It matches the Rfam family "Bacterial large subunit ribosomal RNA", at positions 1138 to 1854 of the family's 2925-position model. The record is from RNAcentral. Lineage: Bacteria; Pseudomonadati; Pseudomonadota; Gammaproteobacteria; Enterobacterales; Enterobacteriaceae.